UGCCACAGUGAUUUGCAAGCAACUCACUGUACUUAGGCACUGGACUACCUAAAUUUCUAAUUCAGUGACGGAAGGCUGCUGGGUGUAGUCAAGUACUUGACUUGUCGGUGCAUGUGUCAAGAUGGGAUUGACCACUCCAGUUCAGGAGCUGUGUACAGUUGUGUUUCAAUUUAGCAAAACUUUGGCCAAGGUAGUCUUAGUGAGGAGUCACAGGACUGUUUGAGUUGAGCACGAUUCGGAUGAUCU
Molecule: long non-coding RNA, 246 nt
Filed under: Elaeis guineensis (African oil palm)
Lineage: Eukaryota; Viridiplantae; Streptophyta; Magnoliopsida; Arecales; Arecaceae
Description: long non-coding RNA (EGUI_LNC050299)
Source: RNAcentral